UACGAUGGUAGCGCGGCUUUUCUGUUUGUGAGUAAUGAAGGAUGGUCAAUUUUCAAUUUGUUUUGGAGGAAUUCAAAUGAACACAGGUACAGUAAAAUGGUUUAAUGCAGAAAAAGGAUUUGGCUUUAUUGCAACAGAAGGCGGAAACGACGUAUUCGUUCACUUCACUGCAAUCCAAGGCGACGGAUUUAAAACGCUUGAAGAAGGACAAAAAGUGACAUUUGACAUUAUCAACGGAAACCGUGGUCCACAAGCGGCAAACGUUCGAAAAGGAUAAAUGUAGGUACGAAAAGUGGUUCUGCUUUCGGGCAGAACCACUUUU
Molecule: non-coding RNA, 322 nt
Filed under: Anoxybacteroides amylolyticum
Lineage: Bacteria; Bacillati; Bacillota; Bacilli; Caryophanales; Anoxybacillaceae
Description: Anoxybacillus amylolyticus cspA thermoregulator
Rfam family: cspA thermoregulator
Source: Rfam by way of RNAcentral